UCGAACGAACUCUGGUAUUGAUUGGUGCUUGCAUCAUGAUUUACAUUUGAGUGAGUGGCGAACUGGUGAGUAACACGUGGGAAACCUGCCCAGAAGCGGGGGAUAACACCUGGAAACAGAUGCUAAUACCGCAUAACAACUUGGACCGCAUGGUCCGAGUUUGAAAGAUGGCUUCGGCUAUCACUUUUGGAUGGUCCCGCGGCGUAUUAGCUAGAUGGUGGGGUAACGGCUCACCAUGGCAAUGAUACGUAGCCGACCUGAGAGGGUAAUCGGCCACAUUGGGACUGAGACACGGCCCAAACUCCUACGGGAGGCAGCAGUAGGGAAUCUUCCACAAUGGACGAAAGUCUGAUGGAGCAACGCCGCGUGAGUGAAGAAGGGUUUCGGCUCGUAAAACUCUGUUGUUAAAGAAGAACAUAUCUGAGAGUAACUGUUCAGGUAUUGACGGUAUUUAACCAGAAAGCCACGGCUAACUACGUGCCAGCAGCCGCGGUAAUACGUAGGUGGCAAGCGUUGUCCGGAUUUAUUGGGCGUAAAGCGAGCGCAGGCGGUUUUUUAAGUCUGAUGUGAAAGCCUUCGGCUCAACCGAAGAAGUGCAUCGGAAACUGGGAAACUUGAGUGCAGAAGAGGACAGUGGAACUCCAUGUGUAGCGGUGAAAUGCG
Molecule: ribosomal RNA, 663 nt
Filed under: Lactiplantibacillus pentosus
Lineage: Bacteria; Bacillati; Bacillota; Bacilli; Lactobacillales; Lactobacillaceae
Description: bacterial SSU rRNA
Rfam family: Bacterial small subunit ribosomal RNA
Source: RNAcentral